GGACCCGCACAAGCAGUGGAGCAUGUGGUUUAAUUCGACGCAACGCGAAGAACCUACCAGCGUUUGACAUGGGAAGUGCCGGUUACAGAAUGGUAACCUUCAGUUCGGCUGGCUUCCGCACAGGUGCUGCAUGGCUGUCGUCAGCUCGUGUCGUGAGAUGUUGGUUAAGUCCCGCAACGAGCGCAACCCUUAUCGUUAGUUACUAACAGUUCGGCUGAGGACUCUAGCGAAACUGCCGGUGAUAAGCCGGAGGAAGGUGGGGAUGACGUCAAGUCCUCAUGGCCCUUACACGCUGGGCUACACACGUGCUACAAUGGUCGGUACAGAGAGCAGCCACUUCGCAAGAAGGAG
Molecule: ribosomal RNA, 351 nt
Filed under: uncultured bacterium
Lineage: Bacteria
Description: bacterial SSU rRNA
Rfam family: Bacterial small subunit ribosomal RNA
Source: RNAcentral